This is an RNA transcript of Eublepharis macularius, 1308 nucleotides long. It is a transcript of the gene named translation initiation factor IF-2-like, with no coding region annotated. NCBI's taxonomy places the organism in Eukaryota, Metazoa, Chordata, Lepidosauria, Squamata, Eublepharidae. The transcript has 6 exons. The record is from RefSeq and is a predicted model, not a curated record.
AAGGCAUCUCAAGGCAUGCUCAACCGGGGGGCUUGUAGGGGGUUUGAAUCCCAAACCACGACCCCCCCCCUCCCACUCGCGAACGGCGCCCUCUGCUCAUUAACGGCGCAACCCGGGGCCGGCGGACCAGGACCGACGUCUGGACAGGCACCAGAGAGCGCGCCCCCGUGCCCAGCGCGGCCCCGAGAGGCUCCUCCGCCUUCCUCCGGGACACCCGCCGCGGAGCAGCGCCCGCAAAGGCCUCCGGGGCGGCCCAGAGCUUGUUCCGGGCGCGGGGCGAGGGUGGCACCGGCCGCGGCCUGGCCUGCGAGGGCCCUCCCGGAACGGGGAACGGAGCGCGGCGAGGACUCCCGGGCCGCUCCGUCUCCCUCCAGCGCCCGCCCGCGGCCGGCGAGGGCGGCGGGAUGUCUGCGCAGGCGCGAGGGAAGCCCCUGCGCCAGAGCCCGCCCUGCCCAGCAAUGGUCCCGCCCGGCGCCCCCUCCGCGGCCAGAUGGUCGCUCCCGCGCCCUUAAAAGCGCCUCCCCGGCAGCGCCUGCCCCUUUCGCCCCCUCGCGCCUUCUGAGGCGCGGCGAGACGGACGGGGCGCUCCUGGGCUCUACUUCUCAACCCGCGGAAGGCAUCCCACACUCGAAAAGGAAAAAACGCUGCUGCUGCUGCCGGCAUUCCUGGACAUGGCCCCAGCCAGCCAUUUGGGGCUUGCAACCGCGGCCCUUGGCGCUGGAGGGCGGACUGCUUCUGAGGGCGUUUCUUAGCCUAUGUGGCUCUUCAGUCUUAAGCUGGGCACUGACAACUGAGGAUGGAGGACUUCCAAGAGUGGGAAGUGCCGGGCCCUUUGGAGGAGGAGUGUAGGUGGUACGGGUGCCUCACUGCUGGAGACUUCAUCAGGAGCAGCCUGCCAGAAUGGUCCGUUUGCAACUUCCUUUGGUUGAUGUUGGUGAAGAAAACCAUGUGCUUUACUGGUUAAUGGCAUUGCUUCAAGGCAAUCUGCUCUCCUGGAAGGAGCCUCUCCAGGUCUUGAAUGAAACUGUCAAGUAACACAUCCGUCAACAAGCCCCGAGAUCUGCUUCUGAAAAAGCGCAGAGCAACAAGAGCUGGGGGGGAGAACUCUGCGCCCUGCAUCACCUCAAGGAUGAGGAGUGUAAAUGGUGUGCAGGCCUGGAAAAUGUGCAAAGCAUUCAGUCUGUGGCAAGCAUCUCCCCAGAGCAGGAAGCAUUGGCCAUUGGAGGAGGAGAGGGGUGGUGCCCCCUCUGUUUUGACACAAUUUGAUUGUAUUAACUAUAAAAUAAAACCUCUCAGUUUUGAAGAGUA